This 203-nucleotide unclassified non-coding RNA is filed under the name Hevea brasiliensis (rubber tree). The record is from RNAcentral. Lineage: Eukaryota; Viridiplantae; Streptophyta; Magnoliopsida; Malpighiales; Euphorbiaceae.
GUAGCACCUGUUAGUAGUCUGCAUCAAACAAGUAAAUCAAGAAACAUGAUUUUCCAAAAAAAGCUCAAUAUAUUAGAGAAUUGAUCGAUAUCUUAGCAAAAAAAAGAUAAAUAAUAUUAUGAGUCUGCCUCCAACAAGGAUAUUAAUAAAUGAAAUUUUCUGCAAAAAGAAACAUGAGUGAACAUAAAACAUGCCACUGGUUA